RNAcentral lists this long non-coding RNA (1408 nucleotides) under Macaca fascicularis (crab-eating macaque). RNAcentral describes it as "lncRNA (ENSMFAG00000050374.1)". The record is from RNAcentral. Lineage: Eukaryota; Metazoa; Chordata; Mammalia; Primates; Cercopithecidae.
AAGUGCUGGGAUUACAGGUGUGAGCCUCCGCACCUGGCCGAGACACCAUCUCUUAAAAAAAAAAAAAAUAGCCACGUGUGGUGGUGGUCGCCUGUAAUCUCAGCUUUUUGGGAGACUGAGGCAUGAAAAUCACUUGAACCUGGAAAGUGAUGGUUGCAGUGAGCUGAGAACACACCACUGCACUCCAGCCUGGGCUACAAAGUGAGACUGUUUAAAAAUUAUGUUUGAGAGACAUGAUCUUCCUCUCACCCAGGAUGGAGUAGAGUGGUGUGAUCAUAGCUCGCUGUAACCCCAAACUCCUGGGCUUAAGCAGCCCUCCCUCUCAGGCCUCCUGAGUAGUUGGGACAGGCCUGUGCCACCACUUUUAAAGACAGCCUCACUUUGUCACCCAGGCUGGAGUGCAGUGGUGCGAUCUUGGCUGACUGCAACCUCCAUCUCCCAGGUUCGAGCGAUGCUUGUGUCUCAGCUUCCCCAGUUGCUAGGAUCAUAGGCACCCACCACCAUGCUGGGCUAUUUUUUGCAUUUUUUAGUGGAGAUGGGGUUUCGCCAUGUUGGCCAGGCUCGUCUUGAAUUCCUGGCCUCAAGUGAUCCUCCCGCCUUGGCCUCCCAAAUUGCUGAGGUUACAGGUGUGAACCACUGCACCAGGCCCACCCUGCUAGUUUUUAAGUUCUUUGUAGGGUCUUGGCUGUUAUGUCCAGACUGGUCUCAAAUUCCUGGCCUCAAGGGAUUCUCCUGCCUGAGCCUCCCAAAGUGCUGGGAGUAUAGGUGUGAGCCAUGGUGCCCAGCCACAUUUUUUAGUUUUUAUUUUUCUUGGAUUUGUUGCAGUUAGGUUUUCCCUCCAACACCACUCCAAGAAAUUUCAUUGUUAAGAUUAGCAGUGAUUUUGUUGCUAAGUCCAGUGGUCCAUUCUUUUACUCGAGGUCUUUUGACCUCUGUUAGUGACUUUUGCUUGUCACUUCAUCCUAUUAGUGAUUCUUGAUAGUUGAUUUCUUCCUGAUUUUAACUGUCUUCCGGAUCCUCGACUCAAGCUUUUCCUCCUACAUCAUUGGCUACUCCUUUGCUAGUUCCAUUUUUUAGACUUUUAGUCAGUUUUAUAAGGCCGUAGGGCUGGUUGGGUGCAGUAGCUCACGCCUGUAAUCCCAGCACUUUGGGAGGCCGAGGUGGGCAGAUCACGAGGUCAGGAGUUAAGAGACCAGGUUGGCAACACAGUGAAACCCUGUCUCUACUGAAUAUACAAAAUUAGCCGGGUAUGGUGGUGGGCACUUGUAAUCCCAGCCACUUGGGAUACUGAGGCAGGAGAAUCGCGUGAACCUGGGAAGCAGAGGUUGCAGUGACCUGAGAUUGGGCCAUUGCACUCCAGCAGGGGUGACAGUGUGAGACUCUGUCUCAAAAAAAAAAAAAAAAAAAA